This 73-nucleotide transfer RNA is filed under the name Felis catus (domestic cat). It matches the Rfam family "tRNA". From Rfam's summary of the family: Transfer RNA (tRNA) molecules are approximately 80 nucleotides in length. Their secondary structure includes four short double-helical elements and three loops (D, anti-codon, and T loops). Further hydrogen bonds mediate the characteristic L-shaped molecular structure. tRNAs have two regions of fundamental functional importance: the anti-codon, which is responsible for specific mRNA codon recognition, and the 3' end, to which the tRNAs corresponding amino acid is attached (by aminoacyl-tRNA synthetases). tRNAs cope with the degeneracy of the genetic code in two manners: having more than one tRNA (with a specific anti-codon) for a particular amino acid; and 'wobble' base-pairing, i.e. permitting non-standard base-pairing at the 3rd anti-codon position. The record is from Rfam by way of RNAcentral. Lineage: Eukaryota; Metazoa; Chordata; Mammalia; Carnivora; Felidae.
ACCCGGCUGGCUCAGUUGGUGGAGCGUGUGACUCUUGAUCUCAGGGUUGUGAGUUCAAGCCCCAUGUUGGGUG